CGCACACACCGACUGGGCCAGGGAUGGAGCCUGCAACCAAGGUUGAACAAACAUCCACUCAACACUGACAAUGGGACAUUGUAAAUAAAGACGACGGAGGUGACAUUCUACCCCAAAGAGCUUCCAGUCCAGAGGAAGACAAUGAGACAUAGUUGGAGCCUAAUCUAGCUCAUGCAGUCUCACCUACAUGUCCAACUGAAGACUGCAUGUACAAAUGGACAACAAUCAGACCCCUGACAGUAACAGCACUCUAACCCACAACCUCUGCAGCAACUGGCCUGGAAUGGUCAGGAUUUGAUCAAGGACUUCUCUAUUUUUUGCCCCCACUUCCAACACAGGACCAACCACAGAAAGCCAAAUAUGCUCCCCAAACCAAUCACACAAGACUACUAGUUAGCCUGCUCCCAGCUUCCCCACACGGACUUCUGCAAUCCAAGCACACCUGAUGACUUUCCCUUUUUUUCGCUCUAAAGUUUUCCCACUUCCCUGCCUGCCUCUGAGUUGUGCCAAAUGCAAGUAAUGGUGGCUGAUGCCCUUGCUAUAUAGCAAGCUGAUUAAAGAGCAUCAUUUGUUUGUUCUGAU
This is a long non-coding RNA of Miniopterus natalensis, 582 nucleotides long. RefSeq lists it as uncharacterized. Lineage: Eukaryota; Metazoa; Chordata; Mammalia; Chiroptera; Miniopteridae. The record is from RefSeq and is a predicted model, not a curated record.